Pocillopora verrucosa is the source of this 460-nucleotide non-coding RNA. Lineage: Eukaryota; Metazoa; Cnidaria; Anthozoa; Scleractinia; Pocilloporidae. The record is from RefSeq and is a predicted model, not a curated record.
CUUUAGACGAAUGUUGGAUGUGGAAAUGAAGGAUGGGACUCGAGCUGGCAUUGGUUUGAAAGCAAAACAAAAGAAAAAGAGCCAGUCACUGAUGAAGAAAGGCAGUUGUGGCAAAGUGGAGUGUUUGCCAUGAUGAGCUUUGCAGUUGCUUGUGAAAUCCCCUAAUCCUGGAUAGACUACCAGGCAGGAGGUGAAGCUUUUGGAGAGAAUGUGACAGUGAGAGUAGGUCCUGGUGCUUUGGUUACACAAAUGGAAUUGCAAUUAUCAUUCUUAGAAGUUGUGGCCACCAAACUUGAGUGGGCUAAAGUGCCUUUUACCAAAAGCUUGCAAGGUGAAGUGAGUUGCUUUCGUUGAUGUGCAACUGGCUUUCUGUACCAGAUCACAAGCCUUGGGUGGUAUCACCAUCAAGGUAUGCACCCAGCCCUUUUUCGAUGCAUUGGUUCUAAUCUCAAUGACAGGA